GUGUAACGUUUGAAAAAACUCCAACAUUAAUUUAAUAUCCCAAUUCCCAAAAAGAAUGUCUAUUUUUUUAAUUUAUUUUGUGAAGUUCAAUAUCAUUAUAAGAUCCCAAGCCGACCCUGUAUACAGCCAUGAAGUAUUGCAGCAACAUUUCAAUGUGUUACAAGAUUCCUGUUUAUUUGAGACGCAAAAACAGAAUUUGUAAGAAGUGUUGACAAAAGUACAGUUCUAAUGCGUAGAUGAACUUUCUAGAACAAAUCUUGAACUGAAAGUUGAGUUCUUGUCAACUAAGCAUCCCUAAGGAUCAAAAUCGCUCGGUACUUCCGUCGUAUUUUUCCCAGGUAGUAGCUUCAGAGCGAAGCGCAAAUUAGUCCAGCUUUACGUCCCGAGGUGAUAGCAUCCUGCUCCUCGGCUGGUACUCGCUUGAAUUAGGGCGUAGUCCCUUUGUUCCCCGCCGGUAAAAUGUAGAAUGGUCGCUGUGAAGAUCUGAAUGUGUGGUGAGUGCUCUGAGAGGAUUUUUUCCACAUAGUGUUGGAUUUGUUAUGGAAAAUCGAAGCCUCUUGAAGAGUCAAACACGCAGUUCUACAACCCGGCAUUGUUGCCCAUUGUGUAGAAGUCUUUGUUUGUUCCUGUCCCUAUGCAUUUUCCAGUUGAUUGCCCUGAAAAGUUCCAAUUUCCCAGAAGAGCCCCCUUUGUGAUUUGUGUAUGGAAUGUCUACCCCACACCCCACCCUCCAAUGAUUGCCCUGAAAUUGAAGAAAGAAGCCAUGUCUUCCCCCUGCCCCCUGUUUGUUGAUGAACUCCCACCCUGUAGUUUGUGACUGUGACGAAGAGUUUUUUUGUUUUUAAGGUAUGAUACGUUUUUUAAUUUUACUAAAUUUCAAGUGGAUAAAUUUCUGGUAAAUAAUUGUAUAAAGAAAUUUGCUUUCAUAAUGGUAAAAAAAGGCAGUGACUUAUGACAUUUGACAGCUACGUCAAAUCUUGUGUUGAAAUAAAUAGGUCAAAUUUUAUUUGACAUAUACUGCCCAACAAAUUUAAUUUUAAUUGUUUUGUUUGUAAUCAUUGUUUUUGUAGUAAAAUUUUGAAUAAACCUGGUAAGAGUUUAAAGUUUUGAAUAAACGUUUUGUAAGUGUA
RNAcentral lists this long non-coding RNA (1130 nucleotides) under Diabrotica virgifera virgifera (western corn rootworm). RNAcentral's name for it is "uncharacterized LOC126891711". Lineage: Eukaryota; Metazoa; Arthropoda; Insecta; Coleoptera; Chrysomelidae. The record is from RNAcentral.